CCGGGUAGCUCAGUUGGUAGAGCAGGGGACUGAAAAUCCCCGUGUCGGCGGUUCAAGUCCGUCCCCGG
This is a transfer RNA of 68 nucleotides. It matches the Rfam family "tRNA". Rfam says of the family: Transfer RNA (tRNA) molecules are approximately 80 nucleotides in length.